AGGUUAAGCUACAAAGAGCACACGGAGGAUGCCUAGGCGCCAGGAGCCGACGAAGGACGUGGCGAACAACGAUAAAGCCUCGGGGAGCUGUAAGCAAGCUUUGAUCCGGGGAUGUCCGAAUGGGGAAACCCGGCUGUCUUCAUCGACAGUCACUUUCUGCUGAAUACAUAGGCAGAACAGAGGCAUACCAGGGGAACUGAAACAUCUAAGUACCCUGAGGAAGAGAAAACAAUAGUGAUUCCGUCAGUAGCGGCGAGCGAACGCGGAUUAGCCCAAACCAAGGAGCUUGCUCCUUGGGGUUGUGGGACGUCUCACAUGGAGUUACAAAGGAACCGGUUAGAUGAAGAGGUCUGGAAAGGCCCGCCA
Molecule: ribosomal RNA, 366 nt
Filed under: Paenibacillus terrae
Lineage: Bacteria; Bacillati; Bacillota; Bacilli; Caryophanales; Paenibacillaceae
Description: bacterial LSU rRNA
Rfam family: Bacterial large subunit ribosomal RNA
Source: RNAcentral